CCUACGGGUGGCAGCAGUGAGGAAUAUUGGUCAAUGGACGAGAGUCUGAACCAGUCAAGUAGCGUGAAGGAUGACUGCCCUAUGGAUUGUAAACCUCUUUUGUCAGGGAGCAAAGUCACCCACGUGUGGGUGUUGGAGAGUACCUGAAGAAAAAGCAUCGGCUAACUCCGUGCCAGCAGCCGCGGUAAUCCGGAGGAUGCGAGCGUUAUCCGGAUUUAUUGGGUUUAAAGGGUGCGUAGGGGGGUUAUCAAGUCAGCGGUAAAAUCGUGGAGCUCAACUCCAUCCAGCCGUUGAAACUGAUGAUCUUGAGUGGGCGAGAAGUAUGCGGAAUGCGUGGUGUAGCGGUGAAAUGCAUAGAUAUCACGCAGAACUCCGAUUGCGAAGGCAGCAUACCGGCGCCCGACUGACGCUGAAGCAUGAAAGCGUGGGUAUCGAACAGGAUUAGAUACCCUUGUAGUC
RNAcentral lists this ribosomal RNA (459 nucleotides) under uncultured bacterium. RNAcentral's name for it is "partial 16S ribosomal RNA". It matches the Rfam family "Bacterial small subunit ribosomal RNA", at positions 338 to 795 of the family's 1533-position model. The record is from RNAcentral.